This 423-nucleotide ribosomal RNA is filed under the name uncultured bacterium. Its description in RNAcentral is "partial 16S ribosomal RNA". It matches the Rfam family "Bacterial small subunit ribosomal RNA", at positions 354 to 794 of the family's 1533-position model. The record is from RNAcentral.
GUGGGGAAUCUUGCGCAAUGGGCGAAAGCCUGACGCAGCCAUGCCGCGUGAAUGAUGAAGGUCUUAGGAUUGUAAAAUUCUUUCACCGGGGACGAUAAUGACGGUACCCGGAGAAGAAGCUCCGGCUAACUUCGUGCCAGCAGCCGCGGUAAUACGAAGGGGGCUAGCGUUGCUCGGAAUUACUGGGCGUAAAGGGCGCGUAGGCGGACAGUUUAGUCAGAGGUGAAAGCCCAGGGCUCAACCUUGGAAUUGCCUUUGAUACUGGCUGUCUUGAGUACGGGAGAGGUGAGUGGAACUCCGAGUGUAGAGGUGAAAUUCGUAGAUAUUCGGAAGAACACCAGUGGCGAAGGCGACUCACUGGCCCGUUACUGACGCUGAGGCGCGAAAGCGUGGGGAGCAAACAGGAUUAGAAACCCCGGUUCC